GCCAAUAAAAACACAACGCUUAGUCACUCAUCUGCCAACCACACAGCAGGAAAUGACAUCUUGAGAGAAGAAGGUGUGUCUGUUUGUCUUUUUGUGUUCGUCACUCAGUCACUGGUCAACAUGACAUGUUGCAAUAAAGAUAAGCCGGAGGUACGUUCUGUGCUAUCUGCCCAACCUGCACCUUCAUCACACUUCUACCAUUAGCCAGAGUAACACUCAUGUCUGUCCUGACCCUGAAUGGUCUUUAAAACACACCCGGCCGCAAACCACUCAGCAUGAUUAUAAUGCAGCAGCUGUUCCCAGAUCUGGCAUCAGUUGAAGUUCUAUUUUUUUCAAGAAUACGAUGACUCAUAAAAGAUGACCAAAAUCCCAAAAUGCACGACAUCAGACUCAAGGUCAUACAUGGAAGGACAAUCAAUGAGGAUCCUGGCUUGAGCUAAAGGAAACCUGCCAGGACUUGGCUGCGAGCGUGUUUGGAUUUUAGGGAGGGGCAACAAUGCACCACUAUAACGAGCCAUUACUACACGGCGGGAUUUGGUGUAAACAACACGCCUUCAUAUUGUUUGUGACCUUAACAUCUGAACAUCUGAGCGUUGCUGCAGAACGUUUUGUCCUUAGCUGACUGGAACGGCACAUGGUGUGGUCUCCUGCUGGUGUAGCCCAUCUGUUUAAGGUUUGACGUGUUGUGAGUUCAGAGAUAUUCUCCUGCGUAUCUUGGUGGUAAUUGCAUUACAAGCUUAUAUUGUGUUAUUGUAGGGUCUUUACCUUAGAAUAUAAAGUGGCUUGAGGCCACUUUAUAUUCUAUAUAUAAUAAAACUGAAUUUAAUUGAAUCAACAAGUAUUUAUUUGAGUUACUCUUGCCUUCCCAUCAGUUCAAACCAGUCUGGGAAUUCUCCUCUGACAUCAAGAAGGCUCUUGAUGCAGCUCAUGGUAUAUUUUCUUUACAGAACUUUCUCUGUAAAGUCUAGGGAUAGUUAUG
Long non-coding RNA from Oreochromis niloticus (Nile tilapia), 979 nucleotides. RefSeq lists it as uncharacterized. The record is from RefSeq and is a predicted model, not a curated record. NCBI's taxonomy places the organism in Eukaryota, Metazoa, Chordata, Actinopteri, Cichliformes, Cichlidae. The transcript is spliced from 3 exons.